Scylla paramamosain (green mud crab) is the source of this 870-nucleotide long non-coding RNA. RefSeq lists it as uncharacterized. The transcript is spliced from 3 exons. The record is from RefSeq and is a predicted model, not a curated record. Lineage: Eukaryota; Metazoa; Arthropoda; Malacostraca; Decapoda; Portunidae.
GGGAAUUCCUGGCUGUGGUCCCUCCAAGGUAUCGACGAAAGUCUCAUAGAAGCUGCGAAGUUGACAGGAGAUAGAAACCAACAGUCUGCAGGUGUUGCUGUCACAUCUCCAAGUCACUCCUGGGAGGCCUGGCUGGAAGUGGUGAGGCGUCACUCUACCCAAUGCAAGAAACACGCCACGCCACCUGAAAUGGGACUUCUUCAAAUUGGAAAGUGUUUUCAACGGUGAUGGAGUGAAUGAUGCUGGCGCCAACAAUAAGCAACAGUCCACACAGUAUAGGAGUUGGAGGAGCACCUGCAUUUGGAGGCUUCUUCAGAGAUGUUCAUGCGCGUAAAAUGCAGGACUAUUUUUUUUUUCCUUCUAUUUACACAUACUACAUACACGCCUUAAAAGCCCAUCAUACACACAGCUUUGCACCUCCCGUCCCGGUGUCUCUGAAGCAACAGUUAACCAGCAUCACGACAACCUGGAAAGAAAUGCAUUUUAUUUCAAUAUGGCGUCCUGUGUUUCAGCCAAGUUAACGCACUGCUAUUGACACAUUCGUUACCUUCUUGACACACCGAUUUGCAAGAAAGUAAUUUAAAUGUCACCUUCGUAAACUUAACCCGUGUAUGCGACGCCUGUGGACUUGACUUUCAUUUCCGUCUCACUAAAAUAGCAUACAGUAAUUCCAAUUGCUGUUAUUAAACUCAGUGUAAUAUUUGAUAAAAAGAAAAAAUAUGAGAACGAUUGAUUUCCUUGUUCACUGGGCUCUGUACCAUGUCAUCUGCCAUCUCUUGAUGUCUGGGGAUAAGAGCAACACCAAAUAUUAGACAUAUUGUUUAUCCUACAUCAUUUCACUGACUAAUAAAAAAAAGAAAGGGAACACUU